CCCACACGUCCGGGCUCGCGGGGCGCUCCACGUUCCGUGCCUGCGGGGUGGGAGGCCGGGCCUCCGGGGCCGGCGUCUGGGCUUUGGGGCCCCAGCGCGGCUUCGCGGGUCACCGGUGGGCGUCCGGGCGCCUUCCAGGCGGGCCCCGAGCCGAGGCGGAACGCUGACGUUUCCUGGAGCGGCCCUUUAAUUUCCGUGAGGCCGUGCGGGGUGCCGCCUCGCUGCGCCGGCCUUUCAUUUCCCAGCAGGGUACCGUUUGGCAAGUGUCAGAAGUGAAAACCUUGGUCCGCAGAACCAAGCUAAAGAGGCUCAUGAUCUUCAGAGGAUUUGUGCCUAAGAGAAUUUGGCAAAAGGCCCGACAACUGAAUGACCUUCCGGACGACCUUCUGGACGAAGCCGGGGCUGCGAGGGCCGAG
Myotis daubentonii (Daubenton's bat) is the source of this 416-nucleotide long non-coding RNA. RefSeq lists it as uncharacterized. NCBI's taxonomy places the organism in Eukaryota, Metazoa, Chordata, Mammalia, Chiroptera, Vespertilionidae. The record is from RefSeq and is a predicted model, not a curated record. The transcript has 3 exons.